GCCGGACGCCCAGGGGAGGGGUGCAGCUGGUAGGGCCCGAACACACUGGUGGUAACCCGAGGACUAGGCGACUUGCCAAUUCUAAAGAACGCUGCUUUUCCUGUGCCCAGUUCCCUCACUCUUACUGGACUUGAACGAAUGAGAACAUCAUCGAGCACCAAAUAAUAAUGAUUUAAAAAUCAUGGGAACAAACAGUGAUAAAAAUGAUACUAUUUGUGGAGGAUCUGUGGGUCUGUUUUUUUUACAAGGAGUAUUUCAUUUGAUUCUCAUCUGAUUUUGUAAGGAAAUUACAAUUACUGUGUUUCUAGCCGGGCAAUGAUCUGCAGGACGUGAGAACUUGUUAGAAAUGCUAAUUCUCAGCCCAUCCAGCCUCCACUGACUUAUAUAUGCUGGGAGGCAAAGUCAAGCCCUUGGUGUUUAACAAGCCCUCCUUGGGGGGGCUGACGCAUGUUCAAGUUUGAGAACCACUGUUUUCAGUACUGCUUUAGAACACCAUCUGAGAGAUCUGCAGGGGAAGUGUGGUUGCCCAGAGAGGAGGAGGAAAGUGGCUGCUGCCAUUCAGGAGUGGUGGCCGUGUUAACAGAUGAGGGGAGAGAGGAUGCAGUGGGUGACACUAAUGAAAUCUUAGCCUCAGUCUUUGGCUCAGCUGCUGAAUUUGGAAAAAUUCAAACAUUUAUAAAAGAAAACAGAAUGGUAUUGUGGACUCCACAGACUUGUCACCCAGCUUCAACAAUGAUCAGCUCAGCGUCAAUCUUGGGUGUCUACUUUUCCCAACCUCCAUCCCUGUCAAUGGAGACACCAUACCAUUGCCUCUGUAAAUAUACUGGUAUGUAUCACAUCAUUAAAAGAUAAGCACUCCUUUAUAAAAUAUAAUCACAAAAAUAUCAUAAAUAUAUGUGUCCAAACCUGAAGGAAGUGCAAAACCCAGAGUGAACCAUGGACUUUGAGUGAUAAUGAAAUUUCCAUGUGGCUUCAUCAGUUGUGACAAAUGUACCACUCUGAUGGGGGUUGUUGGUGAUGGGGGACAGUGUGUAGGGGGGAAGGAGAUACACAGUCAAUCUAUGUUCAAUUUUGCUAUAAUCCUAAAACUAUUCUAAAAAGUCUUUACAAAUAGGACAUAACCACAAUACUGUUAUUAAACUCAACAAUAGUUCCUUG
Molecule: long non-coding RNA, 1158 nt
Filed under: Heterocephalus glaber (naked mole-rat)
Lineage: Eukaryota; Metazoa; Chordata; Mammalia; Rodentia; Bathyergidae
Description: lncRNA (ENSHGLG00000030921.2)
Source: RNAcentral